RNAcentral lists this ribosomal RNA (253 nucleotides) under uncultured bacterium. RNAcentral describes it as "partial 16S ribosomal RNA". It matches the Rfam family "Bacterial small subunit ribosomal RNA", at positions 524 to 776 of the family's 1533-position model. The record is from RNAcentral.
UACAGAGGUCUCAAGCGUUGUUCGGAUUCAUUGGGCGUAAAGGGUGCGUAGGCGGCGCGGUAAGUCGGAUGUGAAAUCUCGGGGCUUAACUCCGAAACUGCAUUCGAUACUACCGUGCUUGAGGACUGGAGAGGAGACUGGAAUUUACGGUGUAGCGGUGAAAUGCGUAGAUAUCGUAAGGAAGACCAGUGGCGAAGGCGGGUCUCUGGACAGUUCCUGACGCUGAGGCACGAAGGCCAGGGGAGCAAACGGG